CUGCUGCAAUUAGAAUGUAUUUAGAGAUGCAAGAACUUGCAAGUGUAUACUAGAGAAGAACGAGUAUUCUUUUCACUGGUUUUUCAGCCUGAAGCUGGUUUUUUCAGCAGUACUGUACCUAUGUAGCAGUUAAGUAAUUAUAAGGUGACACAGAAUAUGAAGCAUUUGCACAUUUAAGAUGUGCACUCUGUGGCCCUGAACACACAUACACUUUUUUAAAGGUUUUUAAAACAACUAUGGGUAAUUCUCAGGGUAUUUGAAGUUCAUGUAAUCUACUGCUCUUGGUUAAUGGUUCCCAUUGGCGUCUCAGAAAGUUUGGCAUCCAUGUUUUCUUUCUAAAAGUAUGGAGACUCUAAAUCAGAGUUCUCUUUGGCUAUGUCUGCGUUAGCGUGGUGCACAAACAGGAGUAGGUCUGUAGAGCAGCACUAUUGUGUGAGGACCUUAUGUCACCACUGUUUAUACGGGGGGGGGCUUCAGGCUGGACCUAGUUUUGUCCGAUGAGCUGAACAUUAAGGAAUGGUUUGAGGGCAUGUUUUGGUUGAGUGUCAUUGCAAAGGAGUCUAGUUUGUGUUCUGCAGGCCUGCUCAGCAAUGGCAACCAAAGCAUGGUAAGUGGGACAGUCAGGAGACUGACUUACAAAAAAGCACUUUUGAUCCAAACAAAAAUGCUAACGUAAACAUACCCCUAGAGCUAUAUACAGACACUGCUGGAAUCUGUGUUUGUUCAUGCUUAAAGUUAAACCUUAAAAUGAAGGCUAAAUUUAAGAAGUCUAGCUGGGAGCGUGGAGGAAAGCUGAUACAUGUUAGAGAUAAAUGGGUCUUCAUCACUUAAAGUUGCUUAGCAGUAUCAGAACACAUUCCUUACAAGGAAGAGGAGAGUCCUUUUUUUAUUUCCAGCUUUUUGCAAGAUCAUCAGAAUAGUCAUCUUCUCUCUGUUGACUUAACACAUGAAAACAAGGAAUUAGAGUGCAAAUACGAAACAAUAAAUAGGAGAAAUAAAUACCAGGUUGGAUAAACAGCACAAGAUCUCUACAAGAGUAAAGACUGAAGUUUCCAAAGAAUAAUUUCAGACAACAAACUGGAUUUUUAGAAAACAGAAUCCUGCUGAAUAUGCUUCAUUUCUGUAAUGUCCAGGCCUGAUCGUACUUUUAGCAUCUGUAGCACUAAGUAUCUUCUUUUACUAAUUUUAAGAGGAUAUAGUGAUAGAAUUUGCAAAAACUGUAUGUAGGGUUUGGGGAUGAAAAACUUUGGGUUUCAGCUCUUUUUUUUCCAUAGGCUCAGUGGGUCUUCUGGUUUGUGAUAGGGUCCCUGGGUGAUCCCAUGACAGACAAGAGCAGUAAUAGCAGCCAUGCUCCUAUGCCAUGCAUUUGCUGUAUUUUCUGCUAACCGUAUUCCUCUACCCACUCGGUUUUCUAGUGUCUCAGGCGAUAUUGCAUGGCAGUAUUACUUAUCCCUAGCAAAUGAUUAUUAUUAAGAAGGGAAGUCAUGAUCAUUAAGGUCAGUCUCCAGUUAAAAUAGGCAAGUAUAAAACAGUUAUUUCACACAGAUUGUCCCUUCCCAGCAUACAGUUGAGUGAGCCAUAAAAAGAGAUUUAUUUAACGUAUAAAUAAAAAAAAAAUUAGGAUUGACAAAUGUGGAAGAACUGUAACAUAUGAUACUCCUUAAUCAUCCCAGCUGAAAUCUGAGAGGAUCUUUUCAAGGAAAAAUAAGUGAAUCAAGGGAAGGCAAAGAAUCUGUGAUGUGCAGGAAAUGUUACUGCCUUCAUAAUGAUUUGUAGAUCAACAUCAAAUGAUCCUGAAUAAACACGCUUCUGUACUGCUCCUCUAACUUUUCAAUGUAUGCCUAAAUGCUUUGACUACCCAUAGAUGUUAAAUCAUGGCCUAGUAGUGAAGAAAACCUUGAAAACUAAGAAGAAUUUAGUUAACCUCAUGAAAUUGUUUUCGUGGUUGUUUCUUAUUAAAGAUGAAAAUCUAGAGAAGGUUUCAUAAAAUCUGGAAGAGCUUUCCUGCAGUGGAGACAAGCUGAAUUAGAAUUUCACGAGCUGUCUUGAGAAAAAUAGCUCUCAUAUUUAGGAUCAUUCAAAUAAAGGGACUGUAUUUGUUGAUACAAUAGAUCUCCUUUAGCCCUGUCAUCCUAAACAAUAUACUAUUUAACAGUAAACUUAUCCAUUAUGGUAUUUAUUUGAAUUCUAUAGAGAACAGUCUGCAGGUGAUCAGUUAGCACACCCACAUUAUUAUCUAAAGGACAAUCGGUGGGGCGAAAGGAUACCAUACAGAAUUAUUCUUUAGGGACACCUGGUGGCGCCUGAGAUGAAGUGAAGAUGCUGCUUUAUUCUGGAGCAUAUCUGCACAGCUGAAAUUAGGCAUCUGCUCAAGUGCUCUGUCCCUCUGCAGAUUUUAGCCUGAGACAAAGUAUGUGAUGAAGUUAGCCUUCAGGUGAUGCAGCAGUGAGUGCCUGAUGAAGCUUACAUGAGUGAAAUGGCAUGGAAUGCACAGAAGAAAAUGAAACUGAAGGAAGAGAGCUGAGUGACUGAUUAUGCCACUGCGCAAAGAAGCAUUUGAGAUAUCUGGUAUAAUAAUAGUGCAAGCUAUCAUCUACAGGUAAACUAUGUGUUACAGCACCAAUUAAACAAGGGGGAGAAAUUCCCUGAGAUCUACAGUAUGCUGCAGUUCUGUUUGUCCUUUACAAAAUAAUGCUUCAAAAAAGAAAACUGCAGUUAGUCUGAUGCAUGAACACUGAAUUGUUAGAUUCUGUAAUAGCCAUAUUGUGCUGCCCAGUCCGUAGUUUUCUUCUGGUUUCCCAUCUGCCUGAUAGUACCCAUCUGUUGUCUUCUUAAAAAAGGCAUAGAAAAACCUAACUAUUAAAUAAAGGAAAUAACAGAUUUGUUCUGUUUAUAAAGUGCCUAGCACAAUCGAAUCUCAAUUCCUGGCAAAUUAUUUUCUUCAAGCCUUGUUACACAAGCAAUAAAUUUUUCUAACAAUUAGCGGCAGUUUAGACAGCAACCUGAUGUAAUCUUCAAAGCACUAAAAGAAUAAUGCAGGUUCACAACCUAAUCUGAAGCAAGCUGUGUAAGGGGAUUUGUUUGUAGAAUGAAUUACCCUAAACCAGAGCAUUGGUUUCCAGAUUAGUGAGUAUCCCACUGGUAGAAAGGGAUUUUGAUAUUUGAUGUCCCAUCUACCAAUUGCUAUGAUUUUUAGGGUGAGAAGGCUAGCAAAGGAAUAUAUACUCUCUGGACUUUGCAAAGGACUAUUUAAAAAAAAAAAAAAAACAAAAAAAAAAAACAGUGGAGACAGGAAUUUCUCUGAUCAAAUAGCCAGAAAAAAUAUAUUCUGUAGGUGCUCUUCUUCCUCCGCCACACCCAUAACCCUUGAAGUGGAGGGUGGAGGAGACUAGGAAUACCAGUAAAGGCUAUCAAAAGGCAUGACUGUCACCAGAUGCCUAUGAGAAGAAUGCUUAGAUGUUUUGAACAGAAGCAUUGUAAUAGUACAGUAAAGUGCAUACAUACAGCCAUGUAAGAGGAUUAAUUACCCUUUAUGAAGGAAAUCAACAUUCCAAAACAAGUAGUUGCAUACAGUGUUUUGGACAGGUUAAAAAAAAAAAAAAAAAAAAAAAAAAAAAGUAGGUGCUUGG
Molecule: long non-coding RNA, 3629 nt
Organism: Aquila chrysaetos chrysaetos
Lineage: Eukaryota; Metazoa; Chordata; Aves; Accipitriformes; Accipitridae
Exons: 2
Source: RefSeq, a predicted model, not a curated record